GUGAAUCAUCAAAUUUUUGAACGCAAAUUGCACUCUCGGGUAUUCCGGGGAGUAUGCCUGUUUGAGGGUCAGUGUAAAUAAAAAUCGGUGUAGUUGCUACCUUUCGUGGGGACGCACCGGAUUGGGGUCAUCUGUCCUUCGGUGAUGUUACCUAAAAUUGUGCAUGAUUUUUUUCUAAGGGGUUUAAAUGAUUGUACAUACGUUUGCGUUAGCGAAUACUCUG
RNAcentral lists this unclassified non-coding RNA (223 nucleotides) under Glomeromycetes sp. Its description in RNAcentral is "partial contains 5.8S ribosomal RNA and internal transcribed spacer 2". The stretch from base 1 to 71 matches the Rfam family "5.8S ribosomal RNA", at positions 84 to 154 of the family's 154-position model. Lineage: Eukaryota; Fungi; Glomeromycota; Glomeromycetes. The record is from RNAcentral.